This is a long non-coding RNA of Paramacrobiotus metropolitanus, 589 nucleotides long. RefSeq lists it as uncharacterized. The transcript has 3 exons. The record is from RefSeq and is a predicted model, not a curated record. Lineage: Eukaryota; Metazoa; Tardigrada; Eutardigrada; Parachela; Macrobiotidae.
GAAAUUAUUGUAAAGGAUUUGUCUUUAAUGUUCAAAUCAAGACAGCUGACAGGUCUGCAAGUACUGCAUAUCUAUAUACAGUAUCUAUCUAUAGAUAUAUUGCUGAAGCAAAUGGUUAAAAUAAUGCGCGCAGUAAAUCUGGUGAUUGUCGCAUCCGUUAUUAGCGCUGGCAGGUGCGACACCACUAUCGCCAGGCCCACAGUCACAAGGAACAUCGGUGAUAAAGCCGCAUAAGUCUGGGUUGACCGCAUCCGGCAACGGAUUGCCAAAGGACGAAGGAAAGCCAUUUGCCAAACCCUAUAACUGCAAAGGCCCUUGUAAUCCCAAUCAACUCUUCAACAUUGGCCGUGGACCAGAUUCUCUAACGUCGCAUGCAAACGGUCGCUUUACGCAAGACGCACUUGCCAAUGUUAUGGCUGGAGCCCCUGUAAUGAACAUUCGAAUCCCCAUCCGAAAACCCAACCAACACUCGACAUCCGCUACCGUACCACCGGCAAAUAACACAACAACAAAAUCCGUCGUCAAUUUGUCCAAUGCCAAUCCCCCAGCGGCUGCAAUGCUAAAGCGGAUAUUUAAUUGGUCCUGACAA